CAUACCUUGUUGAAAUUGACUUUGGUCUUGUUAACAAGUUGGGAUUUGGAAAUGGAGAGGAAAUUUUUUUGAUUUUUUUUGGAAGUGGGGCAGUGGGGUUGUUGAAGAAAAAUUUAAGUUUGUGAAAAUAAGAAUGAACUGAAAAUAACCUAAACAGAACUUAAAUGGUUCUGCCACGCUCAGUUUGCUGGGCGAACUCUGUUCGCGGCGCGAACUGAAGUUUUCCAUUCAGUUCGCGAGGCGAAAGC
RNAcentral lists this long non-coding RNA (248 nucleotides) under Lathyrus oleraceus (garden pea). Its description in RNAcentral is "Pisum sativum (pea) long non-coding RNA (PSAT_LNC016617)". Lineage: Eukaryota; Viridiplantae; Streptophyta; Magnoliopsida; Fabales; Fabaceae. The record is from RNAcentral.